GCAGCUUAAAGAUUGGACGUUAAGUUUCCCAAAGGGAAUAUUGAAGAACCUUUGUGUCCGAGUUGGUACCUUGUAUGCCCCAGCAGACUUCAUGGUGACAGAGACCGGUAAUGUUGAGAGGGCACCCAUCAUCUUAGGGAGGCUAUUCUUAAACACCUCGGGAGCUGUCAUCUACGCCAGUGCUGCCAAGAUCAGUUUCUACAUCAAAGAGAGAAAGGAGACGUUUUCCUUCAAGAACAAGACUACACAGAUCCCAGAGCAAUCUUAACAUGAACCAAGGAAGAGGACCAACAGAAGGAACAGGAACAAGCAAGUGUGGACCGAGUCAGCUAAGAUGGUCACUGCAGUUCAAGGAGGUCAAGAUCAUCGACUCAAGUCACUGUUUCUAACCAAGAAGGAUGACCCAGGUAUGCCAAGCAUUCAUUGCUCCAUUAAUGAAUAGCAAUUCUACAAGACGCUUUGCGACACCGGAUCGGGCGUCAACAUAAUGGCCGCAGUCACCUAUCGGCUCUCGUUCGGAACCAUGCCCUUAAAACCAACAUACAUUCAGCUCUAGAUGGCAGAUCAGACAUUCCGAAAGGUUGAAGGUAUAGUAACUGAUGUCCCUGUCAAAAUAGAUGAUCAUUUUGUCCAUACAGACUUUCAGGUUAUUGACAUGGGAGAGGAUGAGUACGAUCCACCCAUCAUCCUUCGGAGACCGUUCCUCAACACCGUUAAAGCAAUCAUCUACAUUAGAACUGGAGAAGUCCACAUGCACUUCCCCUGAGAGAAGGUACGCCGCUAUUUUAGUGACCCUAACUAUAUAGUUGAAGAUUCUAAUCAGGUCAGGACAAGAAGAAGACGACGCAACUGCAACCAGAAGAGGCAAAUCAUCAAGGACGGAUGGGCAGACUACGAAGGAGAAGUGGUAAGGUCUGAAGACAUAAAGCUUGAACAGAAUUAUCCUGAGGAGACCGUAGCACUGAGUCAGGUGUGGAGAGAGAAAAUAACUAUACACGAAGAGAAGGCGCUGCCGGAAGCACCGACUACGCCAUCCAACAAAUCCCAGGACAACUAAGAAAAUGGAGAGUCCUGUUCGGAGGACUUGAAAACGCCGAACGCCUUGCCAAGAGGUAAACUUGGUAGUUAUCCUUUUCCUUUCAAUUAUUUAAAAUAGUUUACUUAGUUAUAUGUUCAUACUAUCUUAAAAAGAAAAUAAAAAUGUUAAAAAACAGUAAGCCCCAUAUGAGUAUACGAGUGGCAUAAAACUCAUAAGUACAUUCACUGUGGUGGCAUAAAAAUAAAAUAAAUAUUUUUUCUACUCUAUAAAAUGAAAAUAUAAAAAUAGAGAGUAACAUUUAUUGAGGAGGCUCAACAUGAUAAAAGCUAGAUAUUUAUGCUAACACCUAAUCAGUUCCACAAAGCAUUGUUGUCUAUUUGAGCUCCACAGAAUUUAAGGAUCAAGAAGACUAGUAGACGGAGGACAUUCUAAUCGCUAUCAGGGUACUGCCGACUUUCAAAUACACCUCUGCCACCUGCUAGCUACAUCAGAAGAAAUUACGUCAAAAUUCAGCUUGGGGGAGAGCACCCUCAUUUAUCCCGCUAAGUAUUUCUAUCUAUCUAUAUACUUAUACUAUAUUAAAAUAUAAAUAUACAUAACCAUGAAAAACCAAAUAAAAAUUUUGUGCUUACAUAUAUAUAUAUAUAUAUAUCUUUUGCUUAGUAUGCUUAAUAAAUAAAUAAAGUGGCUAUGCUAAACUGGAUCUUAAUAAUAAAAAUUCUAGCAUGGAUAUGAUGAAUAGUUGCUCUGCCUAAUUUUCAAAUUUGAAGUUCUCUCUAGUUUAGAGAUAACUGUUAUAAUUUAAAGCUUGCUCUAAACCUGAUCUUGUGGAAAGAGAACUUGAUAUAAAGUCUAAGUUGUUAACGGAUAUGAUAUGGGAAGGUUGAGCUGCUGUUUAUUUGUUCCUAGAGAUGCUAGAAUUCUGGAGAACUUUAUCUUUAAAAAUCUUUAAAAUAUUACAAGAUGAGUUCCUGUAUGAUGAGAGUUUAAAUUCCUACCACAGCUAUAUAUACAAGCUUGCUAGACUUUGAGCCAUACAUUUACUUUUUACUGCUUAUGAGCAUUGAGUGUGGUCAAGCUGUGUAGACCCUUAGGAGCUUGUCAUGUGGUUAAAUAAAGAUUCACUUGCACGUUCACUCACACAUGCUGCUUCUACUCCGGAAGUACGCAUCCACAUAUAUCCACCCAUUUUCCAUCUCUAGAACAACCCAAAAAUAUUCUACUCUUAAUCCAGGAGAGAAUAGCCAAAAACAUUUCUGUUUUCCCCUGUGAAAUAAAUGCUUAAGUUAUUUUGGUUACUACUACUUGCUAUAUUAUUUCAUGAGAUGAGUGCUCUAAAAAAAGAGAGAAAAGAUACGAGGAAAUAAAAAGGGGCAAGUGCCCGGAACCUCGAAAGAAAAGAAAAAGUGAGACGAGAGGUAAAAAUGGACAAGUGUCCGACAGUAAAAUUAGGGGUGCAAUACCCACCUGAGAGGAAAGAAAAAGAAAAUAUAGAGCAUCUCAUUCUCCCCAAAAGUUUUAAAAGAGCAAGGAAGGUAUGUAUCCCCUCAAAAGAGCAAAAAGUAGAAUUAGACUUUCACCAUUGUUAUCACCAUCAUCACCAUACACCAUUCAUUCGCCACACAUGCACAUCUUGAUUUGACUUAUUCACUUGUUUCUUUGGAUCCAUGGUUUGACUAUACAAUAAAUGUCUUGUAAGUAUGUAUACUUUAUCUCCCACCUAUGAGCUCCAGAUAUUAAAGCCUUAUUAGAGUAGGGUGAGAGAGAAGGCAAUGUCACUAUGCCUUAUACCACAAAUACUACAUACUUUGAGAGAGAAGGCAUGUACCAUCACUGCCUUGGUAAGGAUCCAGAAAUACCACAAAAGAGAGAUCUGAGAGAGUCAUACAAGGAAUCUCUGAGUUUUAUUUGAAAUCUGCAAAAACUCUAGAGUUAUAGCUCAUCAAGAAUAAGAGACAUGGCACUUGAUUAGACCGUUCUAUCUUUUAACUACUCAAGACAGAAGUGACGGUUACAAGUCCCAUGGUGAAAGGUAAAAUAAGUAAGUUUUAAGUCUUGACAUUUUACUCUAACUCAGAGAUGAGACCUCAUUUGAAAACCGUCAACUUUUAAAGGCAUUACAGCAACUUCUAAUCUAUCACUGAGAUUAUCCUUGCUCAAGGACGAGCAAGAGGUAAGCUUGGGGGAGUUGUUGACGGUCCAUAAGUAUCAAAUUUAAUUAUCAAAUAAACAAAGAAAAGGAUCCAAAUGCAAUCGACAUCCAGACUUAGGGUUUUAUCUGACAGAAUUCCACGAGUUUUGGUGUUUGUCUAUUUCUGCAGGGGGUUAUUAGGAAAUAUGGAAGAAAGUCCCACACGUCGAGUUUACAUAGAGAUAUUAACGUGCCGCCCAAUUAACCUACAUCUAGAAGAGUCCAGAAGCCACGAGAACGAACGGGAGACCGGACGGGCUCGGGGGCAGGGCGCCCGCCCUCCCCCCUUGGGCGCCCGCCUGGCCUCGGGGCCAAUCAGAGCCAACUUCGCGGAUCAUGCUCCACCGACCUAAAGGAUCAAGGAAAAAACUGUGCGAUUAAUGUCGGUUUGAUCCGACGGCCCACAUUCAC
Molecule: long non-coding RNA, 3641 nt
Filed under: Sorghum bicolor (sorghum)
Lineage: Eukaryota; Viridiplantae; Streptophyta; Magnoliopsida; Poales; Poaceae
Description: long non-coding RNA (SBIC_LNC004483)
Source: RNAcentral